RNAcentral lists this transfer RNA (85 nucleotides) under Desulfuromonas sp. RNAcentral's name for it is "tRNA-Leu". It matches the Rfam family "tRNA". From Rfam's summary of the family: Transfer RNA (tRNA) molecules are approximately 80 nucleotides in length. Their secondary structure includes four short double-helical elements and three loops (D, anti-codon, and T loops). RNAcentral also lists the same sequence under 2 other names. The record is from RNAcentral. Lineage: Bacteria; Pseudomonadati; Thermodesulfobacteriota; Desulfuromonadia; Desulfuromonadales; Desulfuromonadaceae.
GCCGAAGUGGUGGAAUUGGUAGACACGUCGGUCUCAAAAACCGAUGCCCUCGGGCGUGCCGGUUCGAUUCCGGCCUUCGGUACCA